Molecule: long non-coding RNA, 3403 nt
Filed under: Homo sapiens (human)
Lineage: Eukaryota; Metazoa; Chordata; Mammalia; Primates; Hominidae
Description: HSALNT0038866
Source: RNAcentral
CUUUAAUUCCAUCCCUUUAGGAGACUGAGGUUCAGUCUCCACACUGUGCUCAUUAAGGCAGGAAGGAGGGAGCUGCUCAUGGCCCACAGUGGCCUAUCAUUUGGAGUUAUUGAGCACAGACUGUGCCUGAGUUAGCCACAGAGCCCUGAAGGUGCUCCCGCCCCCCGGUGUCCUCAUGAAACCUUGAGUUUCACUCAUCACGGUGCUGCUAUUGCAGAUACUCUACUGGGCGGAUGCCACCUGCCUGCUGCUUGCAGGAUCGUAAAUGGGCAGUGCCCAAGCAACAGAGCAGCUCGCUGAUGAGGAAGGAAAGACGUCAAGGAAAAGGAACUGCGGGUGGCCCUGUCUUUCCCGGUCCUUCCUUGUCAUCAUUUCCAGCACAAGUGGUUGCUCACACGGGGAAGCGAUGCAAGGAAGAGAGGAUAUGACAGGGCUCCUUCAUCAUGUGUGUUUCUCAGAAUGCCACGGCCUUCUGUCUGCGCUAGGAGCAAGUUCUGGUUGGAAUGGAAAGCGAGACCUUUCGCAGUUGCCAGCGCCCCCCGUGCUCAGCUGCAGGAGUAACUCACUUCUCUUGUACUCAGUGAAUGUCGCUGAACUCUCCUGCAUCGUGGGCUCCCUGGAGUUCUGUGCUCUGGGGCAUCACAAACGCUGGAGGUGAAUGCAGCAGCCAGGAACGGGUUUGUGCGGAUCUCCUCUUCUCCUUUGCAGGCCCCAAUAUCCCAUUGGAUUUCACUCCCAAAACACAAGAUAAAAGAUAAAAUUAUCAAAGAGUUUCAAGAUGGCAAGAUCGGAGCAAUCAACCGAGCUUGGGAUCCUUCUGUGCAUAGGGCCCUGUGAAACUGCUCAGGUCCUAUGCCCGUGAGGCUGGCCCUGUCUGAAGGACUGGCAGGAUGUGUGUGGGCAGAAAGAGAGGACAGAGGGCAUCCCAGGCAAGAGGGGCUUCAGCAAAGACGCAGGGGUAGGAACAUUCCUGGAACACUUAAAAGAGAGAGAGGGAAAGCCUGGUUAGGAAUGGGGUCCCGUUGGUGAGCAUGGGCCAGGAGAGAGGCUUACCAUCUUGGAAACUUCCGUAUCACUCCGCUGGGCCUGUGGACCCUGAACAUGUGGCUCCCGUGCCUCCCCAGGCCUGAAUCAGCUCUGCCUGAGGCUCCCCGCACUGUUUCCCCACUGGACCUUUCACGCAUGGGUGUAAUUAUUUGUUAAAUGAGGGCCAACUGCACUGGACCCCACGCUCGUUGAGAAAGGAGUAGAUGCUGCUCUGUGUUUCUGAACCUCCCUUAGUGCCUGACAUUAUGGAAGGAAGAAAGAAGAGCUCACUCCUCAGGAGUUACACUUUUUUAGCAUGGGAUUCAAGUAGCUGAUUCCUUAAGCUACCAGCAAUUUCAUCUUGAAAAAUGACCUAAUUCUCUAGUUUCCCAUUAAUUUAGACUGGCUUUCUCUUUGAUAGAACAAAAGAGAGCCGCACCUCGUCAGAAGAGUGACUGCAGAUGCACGAAAUGAGUGGGCCUUUCUGCCUAUGGGUGACAUCAUCUUAAAGCUUUAGAAAAGUCACAGACGUGGCCGGGUGCGGUGGCUCACACCUGUCAUCCCAGCACUUUGGGAGGCCGAGGCAGAUGGAUCACGAGGUCAGGAGUUCGAGACCAACCUGGCCAACAUAGUGAAACCCCAUCUCUACUAAAAAUACAAAAAUUAACUGGGCGUGGUGGCGCAUGCCUGGAGUCCCAGCUACUCAGAAGGCUGAGGCAGGAGAAUCACUUGAACCCAGGAAGCAGAGGUUGCAGUAAGCCAAGAUCCUGCCACUGCACUUCAGCCCGGUUACCGAGCAAGACUCCAUCUCAAAAAAAAAAAAAAAAAAAAAGAAAAGUCACAGACGUUAUGCUCCUUCGGUAGUGGUAGUGUAAGCGAUGAGAUCUGGCAAGGGCAAAGAGGAUGACUGGAUGGAUUAUAAUAAGGCAGAUAAAUGUGGAAGAUAAGACCCCAGACCCUAGCGUCUUUCCAGCUCUGAAAUGCCUUCGUUCUCAGUGAGGCUGGUUGAACAACUAUGUUGUUGAUUCAGGUUGGUUUCACAUACCUCUGAGAGGAGAAGAAAGAAAUAUUUCUGGGCUGUUUGGUGAAUGCGUUUCAUGGAUAGAGAGAGGGCAAAGAGGGACAACCUUUACAGAUUAUAUAUUGGCUUAAGUCUACUCACCACCAAGCAAUUGGCUAAAGAUGUCAAGUUUUCCUGGUUCGGUUUUCAAAGUUACAUUGCAGAACAAACAUUUAAAUUCCUGGUGGAUUGUCUCCCGGUUUCCCUCCAGAUGUUUGGUGUGGUGUAGAUAUCACAGUAAAUAAAUGUGUUUAAAAGUCUAAUAAAUUAGGCUAGAGGGUGUGUGGGGGAGGGGGGUGCUAUUUUGCUGUGGCCCUGGGACAAAGACACAGUGGGGAUCAAGAGGUUGCGGAGUUGCUUGCUCCAGCUGAUGACAAAGGCAGGUAAAGCCAGGGCUAGAGUCCCUUCCCAGCCCUCCAAAUGCCGUUAGCGCCAUGAUCCUACAGCCUCCUCAAAGUCCAGUCAGGCAAACUCUUGCCCUUGUUUCCAUUAAACACAUAUCUUCAUCUUUUUCGUACUUUUAAUAAUAGCAGGAAGUAAAUCUGGCCAUGUAAUGUGAGAAAGGUAAUAGUCCCAGGUCAGGAAAUCCUGUUGCUUGGAGUCUCUUGGGAAUGUUAACUUUCCCACUCUCACCCUACCGGGAUCCUGACCUCCUGCACAGUUGGCUUCCUCAGGCAAAACUGGGCCAGAAAUUCUGGGCCGUUGGCCAGAGUCAGACCUUCGUCCUCUGGUAGCGUCCGCUGGAAAAGAGGAGGCGAGAGUCACCAGGAGGCUGGCCCCACUCGCAGGCCCUGCCCUCUGCCGGUGGGUCCUAUGGAUGACACGAGGCCGCACUGGGCUGGAGAAGAAGAGAAGCUCCUGAGACACGCCCACUCUGCAGAGGGAGGCAACCGCACAGGUAAUCCAUCCUCUCUAGGCUUUUCUGUUCCCGUGCAGUAAGUGAAGUGAAGCAAGGUGAAGAAGUGAAGUGAGCAUUCAGGACAUGAAUUGGCACGUGGUCGGUGCUAGAGGAGCUGGCAAGGUAGACUCUGGUCUCUUCUGUGGUGCUGAAGCUGGGGAAAUAAGGAACAAUCUCAUCCACAGGCCAGGCCUCCGGCGUGCUCGGGAGCUACUGACGGAAACUCCUAGGGAACUUCCCUUGUGGAAAGAACGUAAGCUCCGCCCACUCGGGCAGCUGAGGCCAUUGAUUCGUUCACUCAUUCGCUGGACUAUUUCUCCAGCCCAUGAUCUUAUUUUAUAACAAGUACAACAUUCAUUCAUUUUUACACAUAAUUACCUCACUUAUUCCAUGGAAGAACCCUGCAAGUUUGAUGGUUG